GCCAGCAGCCGCGGUAAUUCCAGCUCCAAUAGCGUAUAUUAAAGUUGUUGCAGUUAAAAAGCUCGUAGUUGAAACUUGGGUCUGGCUGGCAGGUCCGCCUCACCGCGUGUACUUGUCCGGCCGGGCCUUCCUUCUGGAGAACCUCAUGCCCUUCACUGGGCGUGUUGGGGACCAGGACUUUUACUUUGAAAAAAUUAGAGUGUUCAAAGCAGGCCUUUGCUCGAAUACGUUAGCAUGGAAUAAUAGAAUAGGACGUGCGGUUCUAUUUUGUUGGUUUCUAGGACCGCCGUAAUGAUUAAUAGGGACAGUCGGGGGCAUCAGUAUUCAAUUGUCAGAGGUGAAAUUCUUGGAUUUAUUGAAGACUAACUACUGCGAAAGCAUUUGCCAAGGAUGUUUUCAUUAAUCAGUGAACGAAAGUUAGGGGAUCGAAGACGAUCAGAUACCGUCGUAGUCUUAACCGUAAACUAUGCCGACUAGGGAUCGGGCGAUGUUCUUUUUUUUGACUCGCUCGGCACCUUACGAGAAA
RNAcentral lists this ribosomal RNA (526 nucleotides) under Cucurbitaria lijiangensis. RNAcentral describes it as "SSU rRNA". It matches the Rfam family "Eukaryotic small subunit ribosomal RNA", at positions 566 to 1097 of the family's 1831-position model. Lineage: Eukaryota; Fungi; Ascomycota; Dothideomycetes; Pleosporales; Cucurbitariaceae. The record is from RNAcentral.